Anastrepha obliqua is the source of this 747-nucleotide long non-coding RNA. RefSeq lists it as uncharacterized. The record is from RefSeq and is a predicted model, not a curated record. NCBI's taxonomy places the organism in Eukaryota, Metazoa, Arthropoda, Insecta, Diptera, Tephritidae. The transcript is spliced from 4 exons.
CUUAUAGUCCGCAGCCAUAACUAACGAAGUGCCACAUUGCCUCUGAUUCGGUUGGGGCAACUGCUAUUGUGCAGAUAAAAAGCUUGCGGCUUAAAAGUAUCGAAUUUUAAUAUUUAUGUCGAUUUUAAUUAUUCAUGACGACGGAAGCAUGACUUUGCAAAACAUACCAGGGAAAAAUCAUUGAGGAGGACAGCUGCUUCCUUUUUUUUAAAUUUCAAUCAAAACAAAUUGCAGAUGUCCGUACAUUUGAAUAUAUGAGCGUAUCAAAGGACUUAACAUGAGACAUCAAAUUCAAUGCCACUGAAUCCCUGAGAUGAGAUCAUCAUUGAAGAACUGAUUUUUUCAAUUGUUUCUACUGAUAUCUUGAAAGAAUUCGUACUGAUAUUGUAAUGUUGGAGCAGCAGUGCCUUCCAGACGGAAGUAUUGGCCAUAGGGGAAACUUGUCGGCUACAAAUCGCAAACUUCUCUUUUAAGGCCAAUAUCACUAUUCCUAUGGAUAGCCAAGCUACAAUCCACGCUCUGGAUUCGGCUACAACAACCACAAAACUGGUGGUACAAAGCAGAAAUAACCUCACCACCUAAAGGGUGGCUGCUUGCGCUCUCAAUAACUGCGUUUCUACAAUUACAGUAACGCUCCGCCAUGCAUUUCAGCGAUAAUGUUUAUCUCGGCAGCGCAGCGCAAAUUAAAAUAACAAGAAAUGAAAGAAAAAAUGUAACAUUAACAAAAGCAUUUUUCCAAUCAUCAAC